GACGAACGCUGGCGGCGUGCCUAAUACAUGCAAGUGGGACGCAAGGGAACACACUGUGCUUGCACACCGUGUUUUCUUGGGUCGCGAACGGGUGAGUAACGCGUAGGUAACCUGCCUAUUAGCGGGGGAUAACUAUUGGAAACGAUAGCUAAUACCGCAUAAUAUUAAUUAUUGCAUGAUAAUUGAUUGAAAGAUGCAAGCGCAUCACUAGUAGAUGGACCUGCGUUGUAUUAGCUAGUUGGUAAGGUAAGAGCUUACCAAGGCGACGAUACAUAGCCGACCUGAGAGGGUGAUCGGCCACACUGGGACUGAGACACGGCCCAGACUCCUACGGGAGGCAGCAGUAGGGAAUCUUCGGCAAUGGACGAAAGUCUGACCGAGCAACGCCGCGUGAGUGAAGAAGGUUUUCGGAUCGUAAAGCUCUGUUGUAAGUCAAGAACGUGUGUGAGAGUGGAAAGUUCACACAGUGAC
RNAcentral lists this ribosomal RNA (471 nucleotides) under Streptococcus mutans. RNAcentral describes it as "bacterial SSU rRNA". It matches the Rfam family "Bacterial small subunit ribosomal RNA", at positions 28 to 473 of the family's 1533-position model. Lineage: Bacteria; Bacillati; Bacillota; Bacilli; Lactobacillales; Streptococcaceae. The record is from RNAcentral.